This is a long non-coding RNA of Cheilinus undulatus (humphead wrasse), 475 nucleotides long. RefSeq lists it as uncharacterized. The record is from RefSeq and is a predicted model, not a curated record. NCBI's taxonomy places the organism in Eukaryota, Metazoa, Chordata, Actinopteri, Labriformes, Labridae. The transcript has 4 exons.
GUGCUGGUUUAGCUAAGUUGAUGGAGCAGUCACCCCUGCAGAGGCUGACAUCCUCAUUGCAAUGGUUGGAGCAGAAUGAAAGAGAAGAUCUAGCCAAGGUACGCCUGCAGAGGAAGAACUGUAACAUCAGCACUUUUCAAAAUCUUUAUCUUCAUGUCUGCAGUUAAUUCUGCUUUCACAAGAUUGAGGUGCAACAUCUGGAGCCGAAUCAGCAGCAAGAGAAGUGAUGGCUCACUGAAGCAGGAGCUGGAGGCUGUCUACAGAUCUCUGCAGCUGCAGUAUCUACAAAGUUUGUCUGAGGCAGCAACUUUGCUGUUUAUUAGUUCCAGAGAGCAGAGAGGGAUCCUGUUUGUGCACCCUGGGGACAUAUCGUUGCUGAAGUGAGCUUCACAUCGUGAGGGCACAACACUGGAGAGGAGUGGAGGGAAAGCAGGAGAGGACAGAGGAGAGAAACACUGUGUGGGCCGAGGCAGGU